Molecule: long non-coding RNA, 3214 nt
Organism: Bacillus rossius redtenbacheri
Lineage: Eukaryota; Metazoa; Arthropoda; Insecta; Phasmatodea; Bacillidae
Exons: 4
Source: RefSeq, a predicted model, not a curated record
ACAUUCCCACUCCAAAUUUCAAUUGAAUAUCUUAUUUUAAAAAUGGGUUAUGAUAAUUUGUAGUAAUUGAUGUUUUUUUUGUUUAAAUCUUAGCGAGAGUCACUUAUAUUAGAAAAAACAAGGCUGUGUUGUAAUUGCGUGGUGCAGUUUUGUUUUGUUUUUAUUUUCUGCGAUAUGGCUACCACUGACGUUUCUAAAGGGGGUUAAAGUGCAGGGUUAUGUUUUGUUUGGGUUUUUUAAGUCGUGUAUAAUGUAACUAUUAACAACUUUAUUUGCUGCCACCGGCUUUUUUCGGUAAAUCUUACGGGUAUAUGAGUUACAUUAUUAAUCGUCAGUAGCUACGAACGUAUUUUUACUUUUUUGUUUUUCGAAUUUCGAACGAAUUUUCUAUUAGACCGUGAAAUUAAUCAAGAAAAAACGAAUAACAUUUCCUGAAAACGACUGCGAGUAUUUUCUUUCGACAUAACUUGAAGGGCAUGCUGGAUGAGUAGGCGAGGCCUUGCAUGGCGCGCGGCGCCCGGAGCCCUCGUCCACCAUGUGGCCGCCGUGUCGCCAGCGGCGCGGGGAUCAGGCGUGAUACCGAGUCGUCAUUAACGGCGCCGUCGAGUCCACCAGGUCCCACAAGCUCCUGAAGCUAAUCCGUGGUUCAUAUGUUAGUACGUGAUAGAACACAACUAGAAAAGCACAAAUCACCCAAAAGGUAUGUUCUGAACUCAACCGGUGAGGCGCUAGAGGGCGCUUUCCAGUGAACGAUAUAUACGACCAGUUGACAGCAACCCACGUCAUUCGCGCUGUGUAUCUCCAAGGAGACGGAUGCGCACACUUAUCAAGGGAAGGCCGCCAUACAGCACAUGCACGGGCUUAGCGAGGGAAGCACGGGCGUCACUGCCGGUGGCCGCAGUUCGUAGCAGUCGUUGCGACGUGUGUUGUACGCAGUUGGAGGUGGUUGAAUAAAGCAGUUUCCUUAAAUUCAUCGAUGUCCUGUCAUUCCGUCUCGUUUUAUCUUGUUUUUCGUAAUUAGAACGUACCGCUCUCCAGAGCUUCACCGGGUGAUUUCCGAACAUAUAUUUUAUUGUGACUUCGCGGGAUAGCUGUGGACUAUUAUUUCAUACCGUAGAACCACGAAUUUGUAUGUUCUGUGAAAUCUCUUUUUGACGCUUGAAUGAUGUUAUUUUAACAAAGAUUAUCUUGAAUCACAAGAUAAUACCCUUGUAUUAUUAAUGUUCAAAGAUUUGUACGUGUUACAUAUAUAAUUGCGACCUCUUAGGUGCCUAAUUGUAUCUUAAUGCGUGAUUAACUGUUAGUUUUUACUUUUAGCCGGCCGCUGUCUCUGUGCCGUUGUUCUGCAAGUAAAAAAUAAAGUUGGCGUGCAGUGUUUUUGUAUUGCUGCGAGCAACUGUGUAACUUGAGUUUUAGUGCCUCAAAAUAAGAAAAGUUUUACCGUUUACAAUAAUAUUGCAAUAUUCUGUAAUCUUAGUUAUUUUACAUAAAAACACUUUUAAAAAGCGUUUUUUUUAGCCAGUUGAACGUUCAUUUAAAUCUACAUGAAGAGCGAGCAGUACCUAAAGAAACUGACAUACAUUCUGUUAAAAACCAGUCUGACACCGUAACAAAUUAACUAAUUUCUAAAGCUUUACUCUUUUGUGCAACAGAAAUUCAAGAAAUAUUACAACUAAGUAUUUCUUUGCUACGCGCUUCAGACACCCGAAAAAAAGCUACAGAAACGCGUGUGUGUUGUAUUUUCAUUAUAGUACUUAAGCGGUAUGCCUUGUUCAUCGCUUAAAAGCAGGUUUGUACGUACGGCUAGAUUUAGAUUUUCGCCAAUGUAUUCCCGUUUGGUAGUAUGUUACGAUGUAUUGUGCAGCUAAAUCCUUGUAAAUAUCAGAGCGUCAAAUAGAUGGUAACCGAAUUGCCAUAAUGUACCUUUAGGCCUAUUUGGGAGCAAUAAUAAGUUUCAUAUCUGAACCGUCACUUAUAAUCAGCGCAGAUUAGCAACAUUACAAAUUAUUUUCGAUUAAUGGCAGUAUUUUUUCUUCUCGAUUAUUAUUUUUUACUUUUAGAAGAAAACUACAAAUUAAAAUGUAAUGUUCUUUGUAUAAGUUUGUUCUUAGAUUAUACCAAACACUUUUACGGUACCUAAUGCAAAGGUUUAGAAAACUUGGCGAACGUGUUAUGAAUAACGAAGCAUAUUAAUUAUUAAUUCUUCAAAUUAAUAUAAAAAUUAACGUGAAUAAAAUCUUACAGAAUAUACGGAAAUGUAGGUAUAUAGAAAAUGUACUGGACCCUGAGUCAAAAUGUACAAAAGCAUAUCUGGUCUCCAUAUUUUCAAAAUACAUGAAUGUUUAGCACUGUUUGAAGCUUUAGAAGUAAAAGACGAACAUUGUAGAAGCAACAUUUCCUGUGAAAACCAGAAGUGAUGGUUCUUAUUGCAAUAUAAAUAUGAUAUUUACAUAAUAUUUACGUAUAAAAACCCACGUUUUAGAUUAAUAGUCUUGAAAAAAAGUCAAACUUGCUAGAAAACUGAUAAUUUUCGUAUUUAUAAAUAUAUAGGUAUCAAAUUGUCUCCUCUUAUAUUUUAACGCUGUGGCUAUGGUACAGGGACUGACUGCUUUCAUUUUGGUUCUAGUGCAAAUUAAACCCACAUAUAAAAAAAUUAACUCGAUUUUGUUACAAAAAAAAGUACUAGCAUCGUCACAAUGAUAAAACUUUGGUUUUUUGCAAUUUUGAAUUCCUAAUUUAUGAAAUUAUAGUAAAAAAAAUUACAAAAUAGGUGUUUAAAAAAACACUGAGAAGAUAUUUUUAGCAUUACUUUUUUUUUUAAAUUGUACAUAAGUGAUGCCUGCCAGCAAUUCUGUUUUACUGGUUGUGCUGGAGAUAAAGGCGGCUCCAGGACUUCUCGGGAGGGACUGUCGUACAAAGAAACGAUGAAGCUGAAAAACAUGACUUUAAUCAAGUCUCAGAUUUUCCUUGUAAUAUUUAUAAAUUCAUGUUCUCAAAUAAUGAACCCAAAUAGCUUCAUAAACUUGUCUUUCAUCAGAAAUUGUAACACAUGAAUUCAAGAGUUUAAGUGAACAUAAAUAUACCCACCAAAAAAAAAAAAUCCCUUUCGGCACAGUCUACAGGCGUAUGUAGAUUUCUAAGUACCUAUUUAUUCUGCAAAUAUUUAGGAAACUUCUGGAAAAUUUUAAGAACUUCAUGUUCGUAAUAUAUUUAU